CUAAGAAUCAGAAAUUAGUGGACCGUCGAAUAGAUCUGUUUUAUAAGUCUACAAAGUCAACCAAUCUAAAGACCAGAUCAACAAAACGAAAUAUUGGUAAUUAUGAGAAGACCCCUACAUCUGGUAAUGACAAGUUUCCAUAUAGGCAGAAGACAUUGUCACCGUGGAUUAUUAAAGGGAAUACUUAUGGAAAAACCUGCCACACUCCGCGAAGAAGACGUCGCCGAAAACCAUCUACUCCAAAGAGAAGUGCUUCUUCCAAUGACCCAGAUUUUCGAGGUGCCACGGUAUGGUUCAAUCGACCAACAACUCAAGAUGGACAGGGCAACCAACUCAUGAUAACCUCGUGCUUUAGCAAUACAAGUCACCACAAGAUGUUAAAAGCUAGAAAAACACACCCACACGAUUCAUUCUCCGAUUCUAAGUCUAGUUCUGAAAAUGAGGAACUUCAAGGAAACGCGACUUUC
This is a long non-coding RNA of Patella vulgata (common limpet), 467 nucleotides long. RefSeq lists it as uncharacterized. The record is from RefSeq and is a predicted model, not a curated record. Lineage: Eukaryota; Metazoa; Mollusca; Gastropoda; Patellidae. The transcript is spliced from 3 exons.